AACGAACGCUGGCGGCAGGCCUAACACAUGCAAGUCGAACGCGCGUAGCAAUACGCGAGUGGCGCACGGGUGAGUAACACGUGGGAAUCUACCCAGAGGUUCGGAAUAACCGCGGGAAACUGCGGCUAAUACCGGAUGUCCCCUACGGGGGAAAGAUUUAUCGCCUUUGGACGAGCCCGCGUCCGAUUAGCUAGUUGGUGAGGUAAUGGCUCACCAAGGCUACGAUCGGUAGCUGGUCNGAGAGGACGACCAGCCACACUGGAACUGAGACACGGUCCAGACUCCUACGGGAGGCAGCAGUGGGGAAUAUUGGGCAAUGGAGGCAACUCUGACCCAGCCAUGCCGCGUGGGUGACGAAGGUCUUCGGAUUGUAAAGCCCUUUCGGCGGGACGAUGAUGACGGUACCCGCAGAAGAAGCCCCGGCUAACUUCGUGCCAGCAGCCGCGGUAAU
Molecule: ribosomal RNA, 451 nt
Filed under: uncultured bacterium
Lineage: Bacteria
Description: bacterial SSU rRNA
Rfam family: Bacterial small subunit ribosomal RNA
Source: RNAcentral